GACGAACGCUGGCGGCGCGCUUAACACAUGCAAGUCGAACGGAAAGGCCUGCUUUCCCUUGUGGAUUGCGGGUACUCGAGUGGCGAACGGGUGAGUAACACGUGAGUGAUCUGCCCCCAACUUGGGUAUAAGCUUGGGAAACUGGGUCUAAUUCCCGAUAGGACUGCAGGGUGGUGCCUGUGGUGGAAAACGAUUUUCUAGUGGUUGGGGAUGAGCUCGCGGCCUAUCAGCUUGUUGGUGGGGUAAUGGCCUACCAAGGCGGCGACGGGUAGCCGGCCUGAGAGGGUGGACGGCCACAUUGGGACUGAGAUACGGCCCAGACUCCUACGGGAGGCAGCAGUGGGGAAUAUUGCACAAUGGGCGGAAGCCUGAUGCAGCGGCGCCGCGUGGGGGAUGACGGCCUUCGGGUUGUAAACUCCUUUCGACCGCGAGGAAGCCACCUGGUUGGAAGGGUGGUGACGGUAGUGGUAGAAGAAGCACCGGCUAACUACGUG
RNAcentral lists this ribosomal RNA (494 nucleotides) under uncultured bacterium. RNAcentral describes it as "partial 16S ribosomal RNA". It matches the Rfam family "Bacterial small subunit ribosomal RNA", at positions 28 to 507 of the family's 1533-position model. The record is from RNAcentral.